UACGGGGGGAGCAAGCGUUGUUCGGAUUUACUGGGCGUAAAGGGCGCGUAGGCGGUCAGCACAAGUCAGUUGUGAAAUCUCCGGGCUUAACUCGGAAAGGUCAACUGAUACUGUGCGACUAGAGUGCGGAAGGGGCAACUGGAAUUCUCGGUGUAGCGGUGAAAUGCGUAGAGAUGGGGGAGAACACUCGUGGCGAAGGCGGCCAGCUAGACCAGUUCUGACACUGAGGCGCGACAGCGUGGGGAGCAAACAGG
RNAcentral lists this ribosomal RNA (254 nucleotides) under uncultured bacterium. RNAcentral describes it as "partial 16S ribosomal RNA". It matches the Rfam family "Bacterial small subunit ribosomal RNA", at positions 524 to 776 of the family's 1533-position model. The record is from RNAcentral.